This 253-nucleotide ribosomal RNA is filed under the name uncultured bacterium. RNAcentral describes it as "partial 16S ribosomal RNA". It matches the Rfam family "Bacterial small subunit ribosomal RNA", at positions 524 to 776 of the family's 1533-position model. The record is from RNAcentral.
UACGUAGGGUGCAAGCGUUGUCCGGAAUUAUUGGGCGUAAAGAGCUCGUAGGCGGUUUGUCGCGUCUGGUGUGAAAAUCCAGGGCUUAACCCUGGACCUGCAUCGGGUACGGGCAGACUAGAGUGCGGUAGGGGAGAUCGGAAUUCCUGGUGUAGCGGUGAAAUGCGCAGAUAUCAGGAGGAACACCGGUGGCGAAGGCGGGUCUCUGGGCCGAUAUCGACGCUGAGGAGCGAAAGCGUGGGGAGCGAACAGG